This 466-nucleotide ribosomal RNA is filed under the name Prevotella sp. oral taxon G70. RNAcentral describes it as "bacterial SSU rRNA". It matches the Rfam family "Bacterial small subunit ribosomal RNA", at positions 28 to 481 of the family's 1533-position model. Lineage: Bacteria; Pseudomonadati; Bacteroidota; Bacteroidia; Bacteroidales; Prevotellaceae. The record is from RNAcentral.
GAUGAACGCUGGCUACAGGCUUAACACAUGCAAGUCGAGGGGAAACGGCAUUGAGUGCUUGCACUGAAUGGACGUCGACCGGCGCACGGGUGAGUAACGCGUAUCCAACCUUCCCGUUACUGCGGGAUAACCUGCCGAAAGGCAGACUAAUACCGCAUGUUCUUCGAUGACGGCAUCAGAUUCGAGGCAAAGACUCGUCGGUAACGGAGGGGGAUGCGUCUGAUUAGCUUGUUGGCGGGGUGACGGCCCACCAAGGCGACGAUCAGUAGGGGUUCUGAGAGGAAGGUCCCCCACAUUGGAACUGAGACACGGUCCAAACUCCUACGGGAGGCAGCAGUGAGGAAUAUUGGUCAAUGGGCGGAAGCCUGAACCAGCCAAGUAGCGUGCAGGACGACGGCCCUACGGGUUGUAAACUGCUUUUAUGCGGGGAUAAAGUGAGGGACGCGUCCCUUUUUGCAGGUACCGC